This 403-nucleotide ribosomal RNA is filed under the name uncultured bacterium. Its description in RNAcentral is "bacterial SSU rRNA". It matches the Rfam family "Bacterial small subunit ribosomal RNA", at positions 358 to 773 of the family's 1533-position model. The record is from RNAcentral.
GGAAUAUUGCACAAUGGGCGGAAGCCUGAUGCAGCGACGCCGCGUGAGGGAUGACGGCCUUCGGGUUGUAAACCUCUUUCAGCAGGGACGAAGCGUAAGUGCCGGUACCUGCAGCAGAAGCGCCGGCCAACUACGUGCCAGCAGCCGCGGUAAGACGUAGGGCGCGAGCGUUGUCCGGAUUUAUUGGGCGUAAAGAGCUCGUAGGCGGCUUGUCGCGUCGACUGUGAAAACCCGCAGCUCAACUGCGGGCCUGCAGCCGAUACGGGCAGGCUAGAGUUCGGUAGGGGAGACUGGAAUUCCUGGUGUAGCGGUGAAAUGCGCAGAUAUCAGGAGGAACACCGGUGGCGAAGGCGGGUCUCUGGGCCGAUACUGACGCUGAGGAGCGAAAGCGUGGGGAGCGAAC